Non-coding RNA from Nicotiana tabacum (common tobacco), 1629 nucleotides. The record is from RefSeq and is a predicted model, not a curated record. Lineage: Eukaryota; Viridiplantae; Streptophyta; Magnoliopsida; Solanales; Solanaceae.
CAAACUUUAUUAUAGAGGAGCAAGAAUCUUCAGAGCCAUUAUGAAUGAUUUAUCCAGAAAAGGAAUGCAAACGGCUGAAAAUGCAAUCCUAAGCGGAACUUCAGCUGGCGGAUUGGCUACAAUUUUGAAUUGCGAUAAGUUCAAGUCUCUCCUUCCAGAUGAUGCCAGAGUAAAGUGCGUUGCAGAUGCAGGCUUCUUCAUCAAUGCCAAGACAAUAUCUGGCACUUCAGAUAUUCAAGAUGAGUAUAAGAGAGUGGUUACUUUACAUGGAUCGGCUAAGAAUUUGCCUCCAUCUUGCACCUCUAUAAUGGAACCAAGUCUGUGCUUUUUCCCUCGAAACGUUGUUCCAUACGUUCAGACUCUACUUUUCAUAAUCAAUUCACAGUAUGACUUGUGGCAGGUUAGUAACAUUUUGGUUCCUGAGUAUCUCGAUCCUCAACGUGUCUGGAAGAAUUGCAAGGUUCAUAUAAGUAACUGCACAUUAAGCCAGCGUAUAAUUAUUCAAGAUUUUGGAGUGGAGUUCUUGAAGGCAUUCUUGGGACUCACCCCUUCGUUUACGAGGGGUUAUUUCAUAACCUCUUGUUAUUCCCAUGGUCAAAUUCAAUCGGCGAGGUAUUGGUUCAGUGCUAACUCUCCAAGAUUACUUAAUAAGACAAUCGCUGAAGCCGUUGCGGAUUGGUACUUUGAUAGAGCAGAGUUUCAUCAAUACAUAGACCCAUACCCUUGUGGUAGAGAUUGUUGGUCAACUUCAUGAAACGAAAUGCUCUACUGAGAUGUGUAAAAGUAAAACUAAUUCAGAUCUAUUCAGCGCUAGUGAAUGAAAAGCAAACUUUGUUUGGUGUGCAAUUAUUGUUUUUUUUUUCGUUGACAAUGACGUGCUUGCUAACCGUAUAUGUUUGAAAGAUGAAGAAUCAUCUAUUUGAAAUAAGCUACAGUUUCUUAACAUAAAUUAAGUAAUCUUAGAACUUUUCAGGAUUCAAAUUCCUGAACUAAGGUGCAACAUCAUUAUUAUUUACCAUAUUCCGUUGACAUAUGAUCAUGAAAUCCACACAGAAAGGUUUCUCUAAUUCUUAAUUAGCAAAAAGGCUAUAAGCUUUGACAAUACAAUUAAUGAACUGUCUACAAAUAUUUUCUCAUAUUAAUUAAUGAGACUUCAUUAAUGUCUCUACUGAAACAACCAGGGUGAAAAGAGACCGAGCGAUCGAUGCAUCUGAAUAUAUGUACUUUUUUCAGCCUUUAAAAUGAAUGAAAUGUAUGUUCAUCCAUAACAAGCGUUACAGAUCUAAAUACUAUUAAUUAAUAUAUAUUUAUUUAAAUCCUACAGCCUUGUCUUGGGAAAAGGUAAAACGUUAUUGUGCUAGCAAAAGAAAAGGGGAAGUAUAAACACAUUUGGUUUGUAAGCAGAUGAGGGUAUUAAAGCAGACUUGUGUAUUUUUCUUCAUAACGUGUAUGACUUUAGUAAAUUGUAAAACAUACCCUCCAUCGGUAGAAGAAAAUUGUGUUUGGGAAUGUGUUGAUUAUUUAACAGUAACAAGAGGCUUAGAUCAUACUCCUCAGCCGGAAUUGGAGAGAAGAUGUAGAGAUGGAGUACCAGAUUUUUAUUGUGAAUCUAAGAUGUUUUAUGAUGGA